RNAcentral lists this ribosomal RNA (412 nucleotides) under uncultured Glomeromycotina. Its description in RNAcentral is "SSU rRNA". It matches the Rfam family "Eukaryotic small subunit ribosomal RNA", at positions 672 to 1082 of the family's 1831-position model. Lineage: Eukaryota; Fungi; Glomeromycota. The record is from RNAcentral.
GGUAUGCACUGGCUUCGCUGAUUCCUCCUUUCUGAAGAACUGUAAUGCCAUUAAUUUGGUGUUGCAGGGAAACAGGACUGUUACUUUGAAAAAAUUAGAGUGUUUAAAGCAGGCUAACGCUUGAAUACAUUAGCAUGGAAUAAUGAAAUAGGACGUUUGAUCCUAUUUUGUUGGUUUCUAGGAUUGACGUAAUGAUUAAUAGGGAUAGUUGGGGGCAUUAGUAUUCAAUUGUCAGAGGUGAAAUUCUUGGAUUUAUUGAAGACUGACUACUGCGAAAGCAUUUGCCAAGGAUGUUUUCAUUAAUCAAGAACGAAAGUUAGGGGAUCGAAGACGAUCAGAUACCGUCGUAGUCUUAACCAUAAACUAUGCCGACUAGGGAUCGGAUGAUGUUAAUUUUUUAAUGACUCAUUCG